This is a long non-coding RNA of Pristis pectinata (smalltooth sawfish), 385 nucleotides long. RefSeq lists it as uncharacterized. The transcript is spliced from 3 exons. NCBI's taxonomy places the organism in Eukaryota, Metazoa, Chordata, Chondrichthyes, Rhinopristiformes, Pristidae. The record is from RefSeq and is a predicted model, not a curated record.
AUUGGCACGGGUCCCGAACCGAGUGCCAGCAGCAGGCGCCGAGGUUCAAGAACUUGUACUGGACAAAAGUUGUUAAAACACGUUAUGUGUGUGUGUUUUUUUUUCGCUGACUUCAACGCCAUGUGAUCAGGAAGACGGGCAGUGUUUCCAUUUCCCCUCUUGGCUGGAAGGAACAGAGUUGUGUUGUGGGAUGUCGGCGAUGAGAAUUACGUAAGAACUGACAUCUGAACAAUGAUUUAGCUCAUUUCACUGAGACGACCAUUGAAAUGGCCCUGCUGACACUCACUCAACAGGUUCCCUCCUGUUUUAAGAAGACCACUAUCAUCCCGGUACCAAAGAAAAGCAAGGUAACGUGCCUCAAUGACUACUGACCAGUGGCUCUGAC